Molecule: long non-coding RNA, 234 nt
Filed under: Pongo abelii (Sumatran orangutan)
Lineage: Eukaryota; Metazoa; Chordata; Mammalia; Primates; Hominidae
Description: lincRNA
Source: RNAcentral
GGUACUUUUUUUUUUUUUUUUUGAGACGGAGUCUCCUUCUGUACGCCAGGCUGGAGUGCAGUGGCACGAUCUUGGCUCACCGCGACCUCCACCUCCCAGGUUCAAGCGAUUCUCCUGCCUCAGCCUCCUGAGUAGCUGAGAUUACAGGCAUUCAUCAUCACUUCCAGCUAACUUUUUGAAUUUUUAGUAGAGAUGGGGUUUCACCAUGUUGGUCAGGCUGGUCUCGAACUCCUG